GACGAAGGAUGCAAGCGUUAUCCGGAUUCAUUGGGUUUAAAGGGAGCGUAGGUGGCCUUGUAAGUCAGUGGUGAAAUCUGACAGCUUAACUGUUAAAUUGCCAUUGAUACUGCAAGGCUUGAGUACAGAUGCCGUUGGCGGAAUAUGACAUGUAGUGGUGAAAUACAUAGAGAUGUCAUAGAACACCGAUUGCGAAGGCAGCUGACGAAACUGUAACUGACACUGAGGCGUCGAAAGUGAUGGGGAUCAAACAGG
This 255-nucleotide ribosomal RNA is filed under the name uncultured bacterium. RNAcentral's name for it is "partial 16S ribosomal RNA". It matches the Rfam family "Bacterial small subunit ribosomal RNA", at positions 524 to 776 of the family's 1533-position model. The record is from RNAcentral.